Paramuricea clavata is the source of this 154-nucleotide non-coding RNA. NCBI's taxonomy places the organism in Eukaryota, Metazoa, Cnidaria, Anthozoa, Malacalcyonacea, Plexauridae. The record is from the annotation of a GenBank genome assembly.
AAUGUUGUGCUGCACUCCGUGAACAAUAUUGUUAACAAGUUGUUGAACCAUCAGUAUUGUUGCAACUUGUUGACAUGAUUGUCAACAAUUUGCAACAAUACUGAUGGUUCAACAACUUGUUGACAAUAUUGUUCACAGGGUGCAGCACAACAUU